Molecule: non-coding RNA, 492 nt
Organism: Peromyscus maniculatus bairdii (prairie deer mouse)
Lineage: Eukaryota; Metazoa; Chordata; Mammalia; Rodentia; Cricetidae
Source: RefSeq, a predicted model, not a curated record
ACCAAAAUAAAUAAAAACAAAUGACUACGUAACAAUGCUCUUGGAAUUGAGAAGGCAGAACAGUAAGUCUGUUAUAAUCACAGUGUGUUGCAGAACCAGAACCAAGGGGACAGGACAGGUUUGAUUCCCUCUGGGUGGUUUGGGGCCAUCCCUGUGCAGGCUCUGGUUACAGCCAGACUCUCCAGGUUGCUAGUGGUCCCUGUGGGGCUAAUGUGGGCACAAACUGCGUAGCACCCCAGGCCAGAGGAGCAGGCUCUGAUUCUCCAAUGACAGCCUGAGCAAAGAUCCAUAACCUCAUGAGAGGCCAGGGAGCCACCAAAGCUGCAGUCCUAAGACAAGCCAUGCUGCGUAUACCAGGUGAAGACUGGUACUGCCUAGACCUACUGAGAAGUUGGGGUAAGGAGUCUGGAGGACAGCCACAAGCCAGGGUGGCCAGGAGGAGGUGCUCACCAUCUCCAUGCCAUUCUUCUUCAUGCGACGACAGGACUUGAG